GAGUUUGAUCGUGGCUCAGGAUGAACGCUGGCGGCGUGCCUAACACAUGCAAGUCGAGCGAAGCAUACAGGAGGAAGUUUUCGGAUGGAAUCCUGCAUGGCUGAGCGGCGGACGGGUGAGUAACGCGUGGGUAACCUGCCUUAUACAGGGGAGUAACAGUUAGAAAUGACUGCUAAUACCGCAUAAGCGCACAGUACCGCAUGGUAGUGUGUGAAAAACUCCGGUGGUAUAAGAUGGACCCGCGUCUGACUAGCCAGUUGGCGAGGUAACGGCUCACCAAGGCGACGAUCAGUAGCUGGUCUGAGAGGAUGAUCCGCCACACUGGGACUGAGACACGGCCCAGACUCCUACGGGAGGCAGCAGU
Molecule: ribosomal RNA, 364 nt
Filed under: uncultured microorganism
Description: bacterial SSU rRNA
Rfam family: Bacterial small subunit ribosomal RNA
Source: RNAcentral